This is an RNA transcript of Propithecus coquereli (Coquerel's sifaka), 811 nucleotides long. It is a transcript of the gene named axin-2 pseudogene, with no coding region annotated. The transcript has a single exon. Lineage: Eukaryota; Metazoa; Chordata; Mammalia; Primates; Indriidae. The record is from RefSeq and is a predicted model, not a curated record.
CACCCGUUUACCCAGGACCCUGCGAUGCCUCCCCUGACCCCACCCAACACUCUGGCUCAGCUGGAGGAGGCCUGCCGCAGGCUAGCUGAGGUGUCGAAGCCCCCAAAGCAGCGGUGCUGUGUGGCCAGUCAGCAGAGAGAAAGGAACCACUCGGGCACUGUUCAGGCAGGAGCCAUGCCCUUCUCCAACCCAUGUCUGGCUCCAGAAGAUCACAAAGAGCCAAAGAAACUGGCAGGUGUCCACGCCCUCCAGGCCAAUGGGUUGGUCGUCACUUACUUUUUCUGUGGAGAAGAAAUUCCAUACAAGAGGAUGCUGAAGGCUCAGAGCUUGACCCUGGGCCACUUUAAAGAGCAGCUGAGCAAAAAGGGAAAUUACAGGUAUUACUUCAAAAAAGCAAGCGAUGAGUUUGCCUGUGGAGCAGUUUUCGAGGAGGUCUGGGACGACGAGACCGUGCUCCCGAUGUACGAGGGCAGGAUUCUGGGCAAAGUGGAGAGGAUCGAUUGAGCCCUGGGGUCUGGCCUUGGCAAACUGUGGAGCCCAGAGCUCUCGUCUUGGCUGUGAGCGACUGCCACAAAACACAUUGAAGGAAAAUUAAACCAAUGAAGAAGACAAAGUCUAGGGAAGAAUUGGCCAGUGGGCCUUCGGGAGAGUUGGGGGGGAGGGUGAUUUUCAUUAUUCGUGAGCUGGGUACUGAGAUAAGAAAAGCCUGAACUGUUUAUUAAAAACAUGACCACUCUUGGCUAUUGAAGAUGCUGACUGUAUUUGAGAGACUUCCAUACAUAAUAUAUGACUUCCUAGGGAUCUGAAAUCC